AGUAACGCGUAGAUAAUCUACCCUUGUGUACGGGACAACAUCGGGAAACUGGUGCUAAUACCGGAUACGUUUCAGAGAUCGCGAGAUUUUUGAAGGAAAGAUGGGGACCCUUCGGGGCCUAUCGCACGAGGAUGAGUCUGCGUACCAUUAGCUAGUAGGUGGGGUAAAGGCCCACCUAGGCGACGAUGGUUAGCGGGUCUGAGAGGAUGAUCCGCCACACUGGCACUGGAACACGGGCCAG
Molecule: ribosomal RNA, 241 nt
Filed under: uncultured bacterium
Lineage: Bacteria
Description: partial 16S ribosomal RNA
Rfam family: Bacterial small subunit ribosomal RNA
Source: RNAcentral